Molecule: long non-coding RNA, 1667 nt
Filed under: Homo sapiens (human)
Lineage: Eukaryota; Metazoa; Chordata; Mammalia; Primates; Hominidae
Description: non-protein coding lnc-BMP6-106:120
Rfam family: Highly up-regulated in liver cancer conserved region (bases 195-434)
Source: RNAcentral
UGGGGGUGGAACUCAUGAUGGAAUUGGAGCCUUUACAAGGGAAUGAAGAGACAAGAGCUCUCUUUAUGCCACGUGAGGAUACAGCAAGGCCCCAAUCUGCAAGCCAGGAAGAGUCGUCACGAGAACCAGACCAUGCAGGAACUCUGAUCGUGGACAUUUCAACCUCCAGAACUGUGAUCCAAAAUGCAUAUGUAUCUUUGGAAGAAACUCUGAAGUAAAGGCCGGAAUAUUCUUUGUUUAAAACAUUAAAAACAAAACAGACCAAAGCAUCAAGCAAGAAGUUUCCUGGCAAUAAACUAAGCACAGCAUUAUUUUUUAAGGAACACAAAUUAAGUGUUCAACCUGUGGCAAAUUUGUACUUUCUCCCUGAAUUAUGUUGUUAUCAAAGAAAAAAAUUGGGAAGCAUGGCAAAAUAUCAUCAAAACUGAAACUAGAAUUAAACAAAACUAAAUUAAAAUGAAAUAAAAUGAUGUCCAUUCUUAAUUCAUCCUCACAACUGGGCCACUAGUUUUAUGCAUCUUGGCAGCCAAUAUUUUUGUCUCUAGGGCAUAAAUUAUGCAUCAGGUACCUCUGAAACUCAGAGACCAAGGAAAAAGGAGGUAAUUUGGAAGGUGAAAUAAAUGUAAACAUUCUGAAGAAAGAAUCAAAUCUGUACUUCAGGGUCAAAGAUGAAAUUCAAAAGGGGUUGACAAUGCAUAGAAAAAAGUGCUGAAUUUAAAGUUGGUUUUAUUAUUAUCAUUGUUAUUUGAACCAAUAAUUAAAUCCAGUAAGUCUAGAGCAAUGAUCAUAAUUCUGUACUGUUGUUUUUCUAUUUUAGAAUCCAGUGUACUGUUUCCAAGAGCUUGGCAAAAAAAAAAAAAAAAAAAAAAAAAAAGAAAAAGGAGCUUGACUCUAAAUCUCUAAAUCUUGGAGUCUGGAUGCACUAUUCAUGUGAUAGGCUAAAAUAACUACUAAUACCUUAUGUUCAAACAGCACUUUAUGAAGUGAUUACACAUAAAAGAUCUUUUUUGAUAUAACUGUUAUACGGCAUAUCUUCCAUUUUAUAGACAGGGUGAGUUGUUUGAUGCGUAAGAUGAGCUGAAAUAGGAAAAGUGACAGAAAAUUUACAGACCUAUGGAAUAAUAUUCCACAAUGGGGUAUUCUUUAUAAUUAUCUGGGCUGAAUAGCACCAUCCAAAGUUCUUAAAUCAUCAACAAUGCCAUUUUUACUGUAGAGGAGAAGAGUUAUGAUCCUUUGACUCUUUAAAUUUUCUUCCUUGACAAAAGUGAUCUACCUUUCUAGCCAACCUGUCUCAAUGAUCCAUAAUGUUGCUACCCUGGUGCCAGAUGGAUAUGAUAGAAGGCUCCUAAAAGGCUCUUGGUUUGAGGAAAGUGUUGCUUACAUACAACAGGAAUCUUGUGGGAUUUAAGAAGUGGGGAGAUGUGGAAGUGUAGCCACUCUCUUUUUCAUUCUACCAGUUGCUAUUUCAAUCUUUUUCAAGAGAAGGCUAAAAUUUUAAGAGAAGGCUAAAAUUUUAUGUAACUAUCAAGGAGAGGAACAAAAUUAUGGCUUUUAAUGCUCCCUUUGGGAAGGUCAAGAAUUUGGAGCUUUUAUAUUUCUCUUUCUUCUUAAUUUAGGUCUUGAUCAAUAUAACUGGAGCCUGUGGGGUAUGUGUGUAUAAAAUAAAG